RNAcentral lists this unclassified non-coding RNA (263 nucleotides) under plant metagenome. RNAcentral's name for it is "partial contains small subunit ribosomal RNA, internal transcribed spacer 1, and 5.8S ribosomal RNA". The record is from RNAcentral.
UUUCCGUAGGUGAACCUGCGGAAGGAUCAUUAUUGUAUAACCGAGGUGCGAGGGCUGUCGCUGACCCGAAAGGUCGUGCACGCCCGAGUACCCUCACACCCAUCCAUCUUACCCCUAUUUGCACCACCGCGUGGGUCCCCCUUUGGCUUGUUCGGAGGGGGGCUUACGUUUUCACACAAACUUUGUAUGCAGUGUAGAAUGUAUUUUUUGUUUUUGCGAACACGCAAUCAAUACAACUUUCAACAACGGAUCUCUUGGCUCUC